AGGGAAUAGAUACCCGGGUAGUCCACGCCGUAAACGAUGAAUACUAGGUGUAGGGGUUGUCAUGACCUCUGUGCCGCCGCUAAACGCAUUAAGUAUUCCGCCUGGGGAGUACGGUCGCAAGAUUAAAACUCAAAGGAAUUGACGGGGGCCCGCACAAGCAGCGGAGCAUGUGGUUUAAAUUCGAAGCAACGCGAAGAACCUUACCUAGACUUGACAUCUCCUGAAUUACUCUGUAAUGGAGGAAGCCACUUCGGUGGCAGGAAGACAGGUGGUGCAUGGUUGUCGUCAGCUCGUGUCGUGAGAUGUUGGGUUAAGUCCCGCAACGAGCGCAACCCUUAUUGUUAGUUGCUACCAUUUAGUUGAGCACUCUAGCGAGACUGCCCGGGUUAACCGGGAGGAAGGUGGGGAUGACGUCAAAUCAUCAUGCCCCUUAUGUCUAGGGCUACACACGUGCUACAAUGGUCGGUACAAUGAGAUGCAACCUCGCGAGAGUGAGCAAAACUAUAAAACCCGAUCUCAGUUCGGAUUGUAGGCUGAAAC
This 540-nucleotide ribosomal RNA is filed under the name uncultured bacterium. RNAcentral describes it as "bacterial SSU rRNA". It matches the Rfam family "Bacterial small subunit ribosomal RNA", at positions 773 to 1311 of the family's 1533-position model. The record is from RNAcentral.